RNAcentral lists this long non-coding RNA (6346 nucleotides) under Homo sapiens (human). RNAcentral describes it as "HSALNT0307021". Lineage: Eukaryota; Metazoa; Chordata; Mammalia; Primates; Hominidae. The record is from RNAcentral.
UUUUUUCAGUAAAUCUUUGAAAUCCAAUGUGUAUUUUACAAUUAAUGGUGCAUCUCAAUUCAGACCUCAUUUCAAAUGCUCAAUAACCAAUUAACUGGCAAUUAUUCUAUUGGAUGGAGCAGUUCUAUAGCAUUCAGCACGUGUUAUUUCCAUCUUAUUUUAUGUACGUUUCUCAAGAAAUGGGGGAACUCUUCUAUGUAUUUCCCAACAUUGCUAGAGUACUAUGCCUAAUAAAUGCCUGAGUCAGUGUGAAAGUCAAGAAAACAAGUUAUUGUGCCAUGCUGAAUUUCUAGAAGAGAAGUAUCUCUACCACAUCAAGGCACAGGUAGUUCUCACAAAACGAAAAGCAUUUUUGCACAGCAGAGCCCGGGAAGCUGCAAGUUGCUCUGUGGGCUGAAAAACAUCCUUGAGGUCAAAGUUAUGAAACUGACAAGGACAAAAAAGAAAGACUGCACUGGGGGCUGUGAAAACAAGGAGACAGAGACAAAGCACCCGGCCACUUUCUUGGUUAGCAUUUAAAAAAUGAAAAUGAGAUGAACUGACAAUGAUGAGAGGGUACUCAGCUGCCUGAAAAGAACAGAGAAAUAAUUGACACUUCAAUGUAAAAGGAUUCUUUAAAGCUCUCCAGUGUGGCAGACAGUUGAAUCACAUCUUGAGCAAAUAUUUCCAGCAUAUAAAGGUGACAUAUUUGGAAAAAAAAUACUAUUCUUUUUGGUCAACUAUUCCUUUUGGUCACUCAGAUUAUAUCUGGUUGACUCAAAAUAAAACAGGUAAAAUCCAUUUUUUAAAAGAAAAGUUAUUAAUGAAUGUUCUAAAAAGUUGCCCAUUAUUUUCAGUUUUUUCUUUUUUGCAAUGAGCAGCUGUUAAACUAUGAGAAUCCAGCUUCAGAGUAUAUUUAUUGUAUUGUUUGCAAAUUUGUAUUAAACAUUGCCCUGGAGACUACGAAAAUUAGUAACAUAUCCUAAAAUACUUUUUGUGGGACUUCACUGUUCACUUUUAUAUGCAUUAUCUCAUCUUGAUUAAAAUCUCCAGAACAUUUUAUGUCACUCCCAUAGAUCUUCUGUCAAGGAUUCUUGAGUUGAUAAAAUCAAAAUUGCAGACUGUUGAUUUGAAACUCAUGUUAAUUUAUACAGUUUCAAAAUGAUGAAAACUCAGUCUUCUUUAAAACCAUAGCUCCCCUUUUCUAUACAUACAUCUUUUAGUACACACCGGUCGAUUCAAUGUGGAAAAUCCUCAGAUGCUGGCUUUGCAUGCUGAGAUAAUAGGGUUUUGAAAGGGCAUUUGACUAACGCACUUUGAUUUCCAGCAAAAACAUGUAGUACGAAGAUUGUCACCAGCCAAGGACCACUAGUAAAAUAUGAUAAGGUUCAGUUUGUUUGUUUGUUUUUUAAAGUCAAGGAGCAUUCUAACCCUAAAAUGUCAUCCUCAGAAUGACUGUCAUUCAAGAGGAGGCCUGAAACCAGUAAGAAAGCCUUUAGGCACUGUUGUCUGGGCACUGAGGCUCCAUCUGCAAUCUGCACAUGAGCUGGCUGAGGACACCUUGUCCUGGGGAGUCUUUUUGUGUUCUCACCAUCAGGCCAAGUAGCUCACACUGCCCAAAAGUUCACCAACUGUAAUUUGAUGAUUGGUAACUGAAAAAAUAGAGUAUGAUGGUACUUCUUUUCUCUUUUUCAAAUCUUGUGCUAAUUUAUAUUUAAAUCCUUCUAAGUAUUCAGAGAGAUAAAGCAAAGCUUUCUUCCCUCACAUGGCCAUUUAGAGCAGAGUGUGGAUUGCCUCACUAUAUGCUUUUUACACCCAAUAAAGCUUAGAGAGAAACUGAGUUCCCAGGAGCCUGAGAGUUGAUAGUUUUAAAACCCCUCUCAUCAGCAUUUGAAAGGUGCCAUUGAAUUUUCAAUCAAUAUUAACCCAAGAUGUUAUGGUUGUGAGAAUAGAGUCAUUUUCUGAGGGCAUUUAUGUAUAUAACUAACAGGAAGGAAAGUAUGUUAUCUUAAAAAAUUGAAUGACGUUGAAAAUUCCACACUGAUGGAUCUUUAGUAACAAACAGGUUUGGGAGGGGAUAGGCUGAAAGACUGUGGGAAAAUAAGAGAAGGCUUUAGGGUCAUGGUCAUGGUACUUGUUCAUUUUUAUAACAAGUAAUUUAGACUGUCACCAUGACUAUCUUGAAAUAAAAUUUAAAUGAACUUAAAAAAUUGAAUAUACUUUCCUAAUGGUAAUAUAAAGGAGAAAUAAAAGGGAAGCAAUUUGAGGAAUACAUAAAAAUAUGUCUACCAUAUACAAGUGUUUGGCCAGGAGGACACUACAAAAUACACAAUGAAGGAGUAAGAUGCUUGUGGGACUCACAGAAUCUGGAAAAUGAAGAGGGUAACACUCAAGCUCUGAACCUCAGGUGUUGCCUUGACAACACCACAUGCACUGUUGCCAUCUUUAAAGAUGUGACAUCUCUAAAUAGCAAAGACCCUUGAGGGAGUUCCAAACCAAAUGCAGUCUUCCCUCAAAAAGUCCCAAAUAUUUUGUCUUUGUAUGUAAAACAGAGUCAGAUUCUAGACUCAGAUAAUUAUAAACAGUGUUUUUUUUAACCUGGGGACAUUUGAAAACGACAGGAGAUGACAGAUAAUUUUUCAUUGUGUGUGGCUGUCCUGUACAUUGCAGGAAAACUAGUAUCUCUGCUCUCUCCCAAAUGUCAGCAUUGACUCCCAAACAUUGCAACAUCCAAAAAUAUUGCUAUAAAUUCCUCUGUGGGCACGACCUAGGAAGAAAGAAGGCCCACUAACCACGGCUGGAGGCAAGUUUCUAAAAAGACAAGCAGUAAGAAAUUCCCAGAGUGGUCUUGUAUUGCAUUUUAAGCAGUUACUAUGCUGAAAUCUCCUAUUUUUGGCCCUAAACCUUCAGCAAAGCUGGAGAAUCAGUCUUGGGGAUAAGUAGCCAUAAGUAAUGCCCCAUAUCAUACCAUGAAGUUUGGUGAAGACUUCGCCACUCCUACCACAGAGCACAGACCAAUCAGUGUGCCUAGUUGCCACUACUGCUAGACUUUCUGCCGUCAUUGACUCAGGAAACCAAACGCAGCUCCACAGGCAUCACCCUCAACUGCCUCAGGACUGCUGGGUCUCUGCUUCUCCACAUCCCUGGCGUCCACAACCAAGUGGGGUGAAUGCAUCUGAUUGGCUCAGCUUCUGUCACGUGCCCUUGUCUUAACUGCAGGGGAGGCUGGGAAAAUGUUCAAGCUUCUUCAGCUUCCAUAGGCAGGUUCUGCUUCCCUCAAACUUAGGAAAGGGCUUCAGAUGUGGAGCAGCCUAAAAGAAUGACACAUGCCCACUCUAAUUAGCUGGCCAAAUUAGUUCUACAGAAGAGAAGUACCUUGGGAUUUCGGAGCAGAAAGUGAUGAUUCUGAGGAGGCUUUAGAGGAGGGGAGAUUUGAUCAAGUCUUGAAGGAUGAGAAAGUUGGUAGGGUUGUAGGUAGGGAUAGGAGAAGGAUUUCGAGAGACACAUAUGGAAUGACAAUAUUAAGAAUGCUGAACUGGGGAAAACAAAUGCAAGCGCUGUGCUAGCAGGAAGGUCUGUGAAGUUUGCAAUAAAGCCAUUAUGAAGUCAAGAAUGGAGGUUCCAUUUUUAAAGAACUCAGAGGGGGUAGAUCUUGAUUGACAUCUCAUCUGGGGUCACCUGGUCUUCAACUGAGAGAUCUUUUGGUUCGCCACGGAUGCCCCUUGCAGUUAUGGAAGUUCACUCUUUGAGAGAGAGAUAAAUAAACAUUAAAAUGUAAAGAAAAAAAAAAUCAGCAAUGGAAGGAAAAAGGAACAAAAAGCAAUCCAUUGGCGUCAAGCUUGACUGGACCACUCCACUGCUCUGCUGCCGUUAGUGAACCUGACCCUGCAGCAGGAGUCACAGACUCACCACUCACCUCAAGUCCUCACUCCCUGGACCCUCAAUCUACACAUCACUUUGUCUUUUAUUUCCCUGAGAAAUACAGGCCAUCAGUUUGCAGAUCCCUCCUUUCCCCUUACCCUGCAAAUCUCCAUCUAUUUGGAAAAGUGUGCCUCCUACAUUCCAAAGCUAACCCCUCCUCCUCUGCCACUAAUAUCAGCCCUACCUGCCUUCUUCUGUAACUUGCUCCAUUAAUUCCCUCCCCUCUCCCCCAGGUCUCCCUGCCUAUGAACAUAUUCAAGGACAUCAUAUCUUAAAAACAAACAAAUAUCAGGCACAAUGGCUCACACCUGUAAUCCCAGCACUUUGAGAGGUCAAGGCAGGAGAAUCACUUGAAUCCAGGGGUUCAAGACCAGCCUGGGAAACAUAGGGAGACCCUAUCUCUACAAAAAAUAUUUUUUAAAAAAAUUAGCCAGGUGUGGUGGUGUGCACCUGUAGUCCCAACUACUCAGAAGGCUGGGGUGGGAGAAAUAUUUCAGCCCAGGACGUCACUGUGCACAAUUGCUUUACUUUUUUUUCCCUUGGUAUAGACUUGUUGAAGAGUAAGCCUUCAUGUACUGUUUCCUCACUUUACAUUCACUCUCAACUGGAGACAAUAUAGAGUCUUCGCAGAUGCAGCUUUCUCCAGACCAACAAUGUGGUUAGACAUCUGGUUUUUCAUUGUUGUUGUUUGAUUUCUCUGACUAGCUUCCCUGACCAGAGGUCGUUUUGAGUUUCCUUCUCUGGAAUUUGACCACUGAGCAGAGACACAUAGGAGAGAAGACGUGAAUGCUGAGUCAUCAAUCAGCAUCACUGGGAAGAAAAAGCCUCUCAGUUUCUUCUGCUGGGACUCCCAGAGCUGGAGUAUUUUCUGCUCUUCCUAAGGCCUGGUAAUUCAGCUCUUUGUGAGACUGUGAGCUUUACCAUACCCUUCCAGUAGCAACCUUCUUCUUUUUUAAGUUCAUUGCGGGGAAUAGGGAGUGAUGGCUGAUGGACAUAGGGUUUCUUUUUGGGGUGACAAAAAUCUUCUAAAAUUAAGUGGUGGUGAUGGUUGCACAAUUUUGAAUAUACUAAAAACCGUGAAUUCUAAAGUUUAAACAGGUGAAUUCUGUGCUAUAUAAAUUGUAUCUCAAUGAAAUUACUAAUAUUCUAAAGCCUCCCAAGUGACUUAGAUGUUCGGUGAGUGUUGAAAGCCAGUUAUUUAUCACAUCCUUAAGUCCUGCUACCUUUCUCUCACUCUCUAAGUUCAGUUUCCUCUUUGGUUUGACUUGGACCAAUCUGCAACAACUCUUGAUGUUUCUUGUAAAUUCUAUGACUAACUCCCAGAGCUUCUCCUGUCUAUCUGAUACGCAUUUAGCUUCUCCUUUCAGGCCUCAAACAGCAUGUUUAGAACAGAACUGAUCUUCUUCUCCCCAACCUGCUUUACCUUUUCUAUUUCUCACUCAGUUACUGGCACAAACUUCUCCAUAUAUGUUUAAGAAGACCUCUACUUUGACUUUCCCUGCUCCUUCUAACUUACAUCCAAUUAAUCAAAACGUUGUAUCAGUUUUAUUUCUGAAACAAUCUCUCCCAUCUUCCUUAUCUCUUCAUUCCACUGCCAGGUCUGAGUCCACCCUUUACUAUUUUCUGUUGGAUUAAGGCAAACCUCCUGUAAAGAGCUGCCCUGUCUCCUGCAGUCUCAUCCUCCAGUACCCCUUCAUGCCUACACUGAAGUCCUCUUCCUAAAACAGGAAUAGGGUUAACUCACUCACCUCCCCUAAACCUGUUAGUGGCUCUGCACUGAGUACUGGAUCAAGUCUAAUGUAAUGAGAAGGCCCAUUCAAUCUGGGCCAAACUUUCCUUCUUAGCCUAGUGUCCUCCUAUGCCCCCUGCACAGACCUUAGCUCCAAUCACACUAACCCAUGCCAUUACCUGGACACACUGUGCUAGUCUACACUCACGUGCCCCCAGCUCACAUCUCCCCUUUUCCUGGAAUGCCAUGUCCAUAUGGCCUGGAGAAUGACCUAAAGUUAGUGCCAGCAGAGAGCUUAUCAGUAGUGGGGCAGAUCACAGGGGAGAGCAGGUUUUGGAGCUAGGGUGAGGUGUCAAUGAGAAGAAGGGUGAUUUAUUAAGAAGUAAGCUCAUUUCAAGCCAUACACCUGAAACCUGACGCCCAAAGAGGAGGCAGAGACCCAAUCAACUACUGAUACAGUUUGUGAGGCUGGAGACUUGAGAGAACAAUAGGUUGAGGCAAGUGUAACCAAUGGAUUAAUUCCUUACCAAUCUAGGAUUCCUGGAGCGUGGAGUGCUCCAGGCCUGGUGGCACCAAGACUUUAAAAAGAAAAACCAUUACACAGUGAGAUUUGGUCUCUACACAAAAUUUAAAAAUUAGUGUGGUGUGGUCGCACACAACUGUAGUAACAGCUACUCAGGAGGCUGAGGUGGGAGGAUCGCUUGAGCCCAGGAGUUU